ACAAAGUUUCUAUGCGUUCAUGGUUACACUAAAUUAGGUACAAAUCCGGUCACACAGCGCACCGUUGCGUUUUUCGUUGAUAAUUUUUAAAUUUAUUUAUUAGUUUAUUAGCUCGAAACUGAGCUGCAAAAUUAAGCCUGCUUACCCCGCCCGGGCUACCUCGGUCCAUCGCCCUGUUCGCGCACCAUCGGAUAUCGCCCAUCUGCUGACGGUAAUUGGAGAACGUUUUCGUUUCGUUUUUUCCAUUUUAUCUCCUCCUUUUCCUCCACUUCGUUCGCUCUCUUUGUGCGCUGCCCCCCCUGCUCCCCUCUCGGUUCGUCGUAUGCAGCCAGCAAAGAGCGAUUUGCGUGCCCGUGAAAUUCCAUUAAGAUUCGCCUUAAAUCAAAUAAUGUUUCAAUAAGAUUAGUAUGUGUGCAUUAGUGCAAAUGGCUCGGUUCGGUUCCUGCCUCAAAACAUGAAAAUGGUGCAAGACGCUCCCAACGCCGUGCCGAGCUGGCAUAUUUUGGUGCGCGACGCCGUCGACGCGUUUUCUCCCGGCCGCGGACUCUGCGCGACUGUGAGGAAUUUACAGCAACAACAAAAACAGCAAAAGCUAAAGCGACAGCAACAAAAACAAUGAAUAUGGCCCAGUCUAAAUGACGUCACAAGCGUAACAGAGUG
RNAcentral lists this small RNA (660 nucleotides) under Drosophila ananassae. Its description in RNAcentral is "GF27324". Lineage: Eukaryota; Metazoa; Arthropoda; Insecta; Diptera; Drosophilidae. The record is from RNAcentral.